Molecule: long non-coding RNA, 1160 nt
Organism: Mytilus californianus (California mussel)
Lineage: Eukaryota; Metazoa; Mollusca; Bivalvia; Mytilida; Mytilidae
Exons: 2
Source: RefSeq, a predicted model, not a curated record
AUACAAGGUUACCUCAGAGCAGAUGGCCAAGUUAUACAACGGCAGCGAGUUAGGGCUAGUUUAAGAAGAGUUGAUCCUGAUGGAACUAGCGAAAGAUGGUCAGCUGCAGUGCAUAGAAGAGUUUAUAGUGUAGCUACACCAAAUACCCUCUGGCAUAUGGAUGGUCAUAUGAAACUCAAUAGAUGGGGAUUUGUGACCCAUGGAUGUAUUGAUGGAUACAGCAGGUAUAUUACCUUUCUCCACUGUGGUACAAAUAACACAGCAUCAUCGGUUCUUGUUUGUUAAAGCUUGUACUACACUUGGUGUUCCAUCAAGAGUACGGUCUGACCAUGGCACAGAGAACACAAAGGUAGCUCUAUUUAUGAACCUAAUAAGAGGAAGAAGUAGCCAUAUUACUGGUCGUUCAGUCCAUAAUCAAAGGAUUGAAAGAGUUUGGCGAGAUAUGCAUAAGGAGGUGACUUCGGUUUUUAGAAAAGAGUUUUAUGACAUGGAAGAUUCCUUAGAUGUACAGCUGGAUCCAAGUAACAACAUACAGAUAUGGGCACUACAAUAUGUUUAUAUCCCUAUCUUAAAGGACGAACUUGACAAGUUCCAGAGAGGAUGGAAUGCCCAUCCUUUUAGUCUUUAAGGACAGCUCAUCAGAAAACACCACGAUAGCUUUGGGUUAGCGGUAUGUUGAACAAUAUGGGGUCCUUACAUACAGCACCAUCUGAAGUAUUUGAGAGAAGUUUCAGUUUAGAAGAGAGACUAGAAAAUGGAUUAGCUCAAUUUGGUAUUUCUCUAGGCGAUUUAGAAGUUGAGAUUUUAGGGAACUCUAACCAACAACAGGUGCAACUAACAGCAGAGCAAAAGACAAAUUUAGAUUCUGAGCUUGAGAGAUGUGUUCUGCGUAAAGAGAAGUUUGUAAAGUGUUUAAGUUUAUUGACAUCAUUUGGAUAUUCACCCUACACAUGAAUACUAGCAAUAAUCAGGAUUUUUGUAGUUGAUAUUUUGAUGUUGAUGUUGCAAUUGUUGGUAUUUAAGUGUAGAUGUUAGAACUGUCUGCCAAUAUUAAAAUAUAUGUCUGUUUCUGCAUCUCCACAUGAAAAAUUAAGUCUCUAGUCAUGCAUCUAAUAUAAUUAGUGUACAAGUUAUGAUAGUAAAAUUGUUUUUCUUUUUUU